AACGAACGCUGGCGGCAUGCCUAACACAUGCAAGUCGAACGAGAUCUUCGGGUCUAGUGGCGCACGGGUGCGUAACGCGUGGGAAUCUGCCCUUUGGUUCGGAAUAACAGUUGGAAACGACUGCUAAUACCGGAUGAUGACGAAAGUCCAAAGAUUUAUCGCCAGAGGAUGAGCCCGCGUAGGAUAGCUAGUUGGUGUGGUAAAGGAGCACCAAGGCGACGAUCCUUAGCUGGUCUGAGAGGAUGAUCAGCCACACUGGGACUGGGACACGGCCCAGACUCCUACGGGAGGCAGCAGUGGGGAAUAUUGGACAAUGGGCGAAAGCCUGAUCCAGCAAUGCCGCGUGAGUGAUGAAGGCCUUAGGGUUGUAAAGCUCUUUUACCCGGGAUGAUAAUGACAGUACCGGGAGAAUAAGCUCCGGCUAACUCCGUGCCAGCCGCCGCCGUAA
This 448-nucleotide ribosomal RNA is filed under the name uncultured bacterium. RNAcentral's name for it is "partial 16S ribosomal RNA". It matches the Rfam family "Bacterial small subunit ribosomal RNA", at positions 29 to 523 of the family's 1533-position model. The record is from RNAcentral.